CUGGUUGAUCCUGCCAGAGGCUACUGCUAUCGGGGUCCGACUAAGCCAUGCGAGUUGAGAGGGGUAAGCCCUCGGCAUAUUGCUCAGUAACACGCGGAUAACCUGCCCUUGGGUCCGGGAUAACCCCGGGAAACUGGGACUAAUACCGGAUAGAUCAAGGAUACUGGGAUGUUCUCUGGUCCAAAACUCCGGUGCCCAAGGAUGGGUCUGCGGCCUAUCAGGUAGUAGUGGGUGUAACGUACCUACUAGCCAGCGACGGGUAAGGGUUGUGAGAGCAAGAUCCCUGAGAUGGAUUCUGAGACAUGAAUCCAGGCCCUACGGGGUGCAGCAGGCGCGAAAACUUUACACUGCGGGAAACCGCGAUAAGGUGACCCCGAGUGCCAGCACCUAGUGCUGGCUGUCCUACUGUCUAAAUAACAGUGGUUAGCAAGGGCCGGGCAAGACCGGUGCCAGCCGCCGCGGUAACACCGGCGGCCCGAGUGGUAACCGUUUUUAUUGGGUUUAAAGGGUCCGUAGCCGGCUUACUAAGUCUCUUGGGAAAUCUGGCGGCUCAAUCGUCAGGCGGCCAAGAGAUACUGGUAGGCUUGGGACCGGGAGAGGUGGGAGGUACUCCAGGGGUAGGGGUGAAAUCUCGUAAUCCUUGGGGGACCACCGAUGGCGAAGGCAUCCCACCAGAACGGGUCCGACGGUGAGGGACGAAAGCUGGGGGCACGAACCGGAUUAGAUACCCGGGUAGUCCCAGCUGUAAACGAUGCUCGCUAGGUGUCAGGUGCGGUGCGACCGCAUCUGGUGCCGUAGUGAAAACUUGAAGCGAGUCACCUGGGAAGUACGGUCGCAAGGCUGAAACUUAAAGGAACUGGCGGGGGAGCACUACAACGGGUGGAGCCUGCGGUUCAAUUGGAUUCAACGCCGGA
Molecule: ribosomal RNA, 914 nt
Filed under: uncultured archaeon
Lineage: Archaea
Description: bacterial SSU rRNA
Rfam family: Archaeal small subunit ribosomal RNA
Source: RNAcentral